GGGUUGUGAGGUUAAGCGACUAAGCGUACACGGUGGAUGCCCUGGCAGUCAGAGGCGAUGAAGGGCGUGCUAAUCUGCGAUAAGCGCCGGUAAGGUGAUAUGAACCGUUAUAACCGGCGAUACCCGAAUGGGGAAACCCAGUGUGAUUCGUCACACUAUCAUUAACUGAAUCCAUAGGUUAAUGAGGCGAACCGGGGGAACUGAAACAUCUAAGUACCCCGAGGAAAAGAAAUCAACCGAGAUUCCCCCAGUAGCGGCGAGCGAACGGGGAGGAGCCCAGAGCCUGAAUCAGCAUGUGUGUUAGUGGAAGCGUCUGGAAAGGCGCGCGAUACAGGGUGACAGCCCCGUACACAAAAGCGCAUGUGCUGUGAGCUCGAUGAGUAGGGCGGGACACGUGGUAUCCUGUCUGAAUAUGGGGGGACCAUCCUCCAAGGCUAAAUACUCCUGACUGACCGAUAGUGAACCAGUACCGUGAGGGAAAGGCGAAAAGAACCCCGGCGAGGGGAGUGAAAAAGAACCUGAAACCGUGUACGUACAAGCAGUGGGAGCACAGGUUUACCUGUGUGACUGCGUACCUUUUGUAUAAUGGGUCAGCGACUUAUAUUCUGUAGCAAGGUUAACCGAAUAGGGGAGCCGGAGGGAAACCGAGUCUUAAUUGGGCGUUAAGUUGCAGGGUAUAGACCCGAAACCCGGUGAUCUAGCCAUGGGCAGGUUGAAGGUUGGGUAACACUAACUGGAGGACCGAACCGACUAAUGUUGAAAAAUUAGCGGAUGACCUGUGGCUGGGGGUGAAAGGCCAAUCAAACCGGGAGAUAGCUGGUUCUCCCCGAAAGCUAUUUAGGUAGCGCCUCGUGAAUUCAUCUCCGGGGGUAGAGCACUGUUUCGGCUAGGGGGCCAUCCCGGCUUACCAACCCGAUGCAAACUGCGAAUACCGGAGAAUGUUAUCACGGGAGACACACGGCGGGUGCUAACGUCCGUCGUGAAGAGGGAAACAACCCAGACCGCCAGCUAAGGUCCCAAAGUCAUGGUUAAGUGGGAAACGAUGUGGGAAGGCCCAGACAGCCAGGAUGUUGGCUUAGAAGCAGCCAUCAUUUAAAGAAAGCGUAAUAGCUCACUGGUCGAGUCGGCCUGCGCGGAAGAUGUAACGGGGCUAAACCAUGCACCGAAGCUGCGGCAGCGACGCUUAUGCGUUGUUGGGUAGGGGAGCGUUCUGUAAGCCUGUGAAGGUGUGUCGUGAGGCAUGCUGGAGGUAUCAGAAGUGCGAAUGCUGACAUAAGUAACGAUAAAGCGGGUGAAAAGCCCGCUCGCCGGAAGACCAAGGGUUCCUGUCCAACGUUAAUCGGGGCAGGGUGAGUCGACCCCUAAGGCGAGGCCGAAAGGCGUAGUCGAUGGGAAACGGGUUAAUAUUCCCGUACUUGGUGUUACUGCGAAGGGGGGACGGAGAAGGCUAUGUUGGCCGGGCGACGGUUGUCCCGGUUUAAGCGUGUAGGUGUGUGUUCCAGGUAAAUCCGGUUCACUUUAACACUGAGGCGUGAUGACGAGGCACUACGGUGCUGAAGUAACAAAUGCCCUGCUUCCAGGAAAAGCCUCUAAGCAUCAGGUAACAUCAAAUCGUACCCCAAACCGACACAGGUGGUCAGGUAGAGAAUACCAAGGCGCUUGAGAGAACUCGGGUGAAGGAACUAGGCAAAAUGGUGCCGUAACUUCGGGAGAAGGCACGCUGACACGUAGGUGAAGUGAUUUACUCAUGGAGCUGAAGUCAGUCGAAGAUACCAGCUGGCUGCAACUGUUUAUUAAAAACACAGCACUGUGCAAACACGAAAGUGGACGUAUACGGUGUGACGCCUGCCCGGUGCCGGAAGGUUAAUUGAUGGGGUCAGCGCAAGCGAAGCUCCUGAUCGAAGCCCCGGUAAACGGCGGCCGUAACUAUAACGGUCCUAAGGUAGCGAAAUUCCUUGUCGGGUAAGUUCCGACCUGCACGAAUGGCGUAAUGAUGGCCAGGCUGUCUCCACCCGAGACUCAGUGAAAUUGAACUCGCUGUGAAGAUGCAGUGUACCCGCGGCAAGACGGAAAGACCCCGUGAACCUUUACUAUAGCUUGACACUGAACAUUGAGCCUUGAUGUGUAGGAUAGGUGGGAGGCUUU
RNAcentral lists this ribosomal RNA (2145 nucleotides) under Salmonella enterica subsp. enterica serovar Dublin. RNAcentral's name for it is "partial 23S ribosomal RNA". It matches the Rfam family "Bacterial large subunit ribosomal RNA", at positions 1 to 2158 of the family's 2925-position model. The record is from RNAcentral. Lineage: Bacteria; Pseudomonadati; Pseudomonadota; Gammaproteobacteria; Enterobacterales; Enterobacteriaceae.